Molecule: ribosomal RNA, 2903 nt
Filed under: Klebsiella variicola
Lineage: Bacteria; Pseudomonadati; Pseudomonadota; Gammaproteobacteria; Enterobacterales; Enterobacteriaceae
Description: bacterial LSU rRNA
Rfam family: Bacterial large subunit ribosomal RNA
Source: RNAcentral
UUAAGCGACUAAGCGUACACGGUGGAUGCCCUGGCAGUCAGAGGCGAUGAAGGACGUGCUAAUCUGCGAAAAGCGUCGGUAAGGUGAUAUGAACCGUUACAGCCGGCGAUGUCCGAAUGGGGAAACCCAGUGCAAUUCGUUGCACUAUCGUUAACUGAAUACAUAGGUUAACGAGGCGAACCGGGGGAACUGAAACAUCUAAGUACCCCGAGGAAAAGAAAUCAACCGAGAUUCCCCCAGUAGCGGCGAGCGAACGGGGAGCAGCCCAGAGUCUGAAUCAGCUUGUGUGUUAGUGGAACGGUCUGGAAAGUCCGACGGUACAGGGUGAUAGUCCCGUACACCAAAAUGCACAGGUUGUGAACUCGAAGAGUAGGGCGGGACACGUGGUAUCCUGUCUGAAUAUGGGGGGACCAUCCUCCAAGGCUAAAUACUCCUGACUGACCGAUAGUGAACCAGUACCGUGAGGGAAAGGCGAAAAGAACCCCGGCGAGGGGAGUGAAAAAGAACCUGAAACCGUGUACGUACAAGCAGUGGGAGCACCUUCGGGUGUGACUGCGUACCUUUUGUAUAAUGGGUCAGCGACUUAUAUUCUGUAGCAAGGUUAACCGUAUAGGGGAGCCGCAGGGAAACCGAGUCUUAACUGGGCGUUAAGUUGCAGGGUAUAGACCCGAAACCCGGUGAUCUAGCCAUGGGCAGGUUGAAGGUUGGGUAACACUAACUGGAGGACCGAACCGACUAAUGUUGAAAAAUUAGCGGAUGACUUGUGGCUGGGGGUGAAAGGCCAAUCAAACCGGGAGAUAGCUGGUUCUCCCCGAAAGCUAUUUAGGUAGCGCCUCGUGAACUCAUCUUCGGGGGUAGAGCACUGUUUCGGCUAGGGGGUCAUCCCGACUUACCAACCCGAUGCAAACUACGAAUACCGAAGAAUGUUAUCACGGGAGACACACGGCGGGUGCUAACGUCCGUCGUGAAGAGGGAAACAACCCAGACCGCCAGCUAAGGUCCCAAAGUCAUGGUUAAGUGGGAAACGAUGUGGGAAGGCACAGACAGCCAGGAUGUUGGCUUAGAAGCAGCCAUCAUUUAAAGAAAGCGUAAUAGCUCACUGGUCGAGUCGGCCUGCGCGGAAGAUGUAACGGGGCUAAACCAUGCACCGAAGCUGCGGCAGCGACGCUUAUGCGUUGUUGGGUAGGGGAGCGUUCUGUAAGCCUGCGAAGGUGGCCUGUGAGGGUUGCUGGAGGUAUCAGAAGUGCGAAUGCUGACAUAAGUAACGAUAAAGCGGGUGAAAAGCCCGCUCGCCGGAAGACCAAGGGUUCCUGUCCAACGUUAAUCGGGGCAGGGUGAGUCGACCCCUAAGGCGAGGCCGAAAGGCGUAGUCGAUGGGAAACAGGUUAAUAUUCCUGUACUUGGUGUUACUGCGAAGGGGGGACGGAGAAGGCUAUGUUAGCCGGGCGACGGUUGUCCCGGUUUAAGCAUGUAGGCGGAGGUUCCAGGUAAAUCCGGUACCUUUUAACGCUGAGGUGUGAUGACGAGGCACUACGGUGCUGAAGUAACAAAUGCCCUGCUUCCAGGAAAAGCCUCUAAGCAUCAGGUAACAUUAAAUCGUACCCCAAACCGACACAGGUGGUCAGGUAGAGAAUACCAAGGCGCUUGAGAGAACUCGGGUGAAGGAACUAGGCAAAAUGGUGCCGUAACUUCGGGAGAAGGCACGCUGGUGUGUAGGUGAAGUCCCUGCGGAUGGAGCUGAGACCAGUCGAAGAUACCAGCUGGCUGCAACUGUUUAUUAAAAACACAGCACUGUGCAAACACGAAAGUGGACGUAUACGGUGUGACGCCUGCCCGGUGCCGGAAGGUUAAUUGAUGGGGUUAUCCGUAAGGAGAAGCUCUUGAUCGAAGCCCCGGUAAACGGCGGCCGUAACUAUAACGGUCCUAAGGUAGCGAAAUUCCUUGUCGGGUAAGUUCCGACCUGCACGAAUGGCGUAAUGAUGGCCAGGCUGUCUCCACCCGAGACUCAGUGAAAUUGAACUCGCUGUGAAGAUGCAGUGUACCCGCGGCAAGACGGAAAGACCCCGUGAACCUUUACUAUAGCUUGACACUGAACAUUGAGCCUUGAUGUGUAGGAUAGGUGGGAGGCUUUGAAGCGUGGACGCCAGUCUGCGUGGAGCCAACCUUGAAAUACCACCCUUUAAUGUUUGAUGUUCUAACGUUGGCCCCUUAUCGGGGUUGCGGACAGUGUCUGGUGGGUAGUUUGACUGGGGCGGUCUCCUCCCAAAGAGUAACGGAGGAGCACGAAGGUUAGCUAAUCCUGGUCGGACAUCAGGAGGUUAGUGCAAUGGCAUAAGCUAGCUUGACUGCGAGCGUGACGGCGCGAGCAGGUGCGAAAGCAGGUCAUAGUGAUCCGGUGGUUCUGAAUGGAAGGGCCAUCGCUCAACGGAUAAAAGGUACUCCGGGGAUAACAGGCUGAUACCGCCCAAGAGUUCAUAUCGACGGCGGUGUUUGGCACCUCGAUGUCGGCUCAUCACAUCCUGGGGCUGAAGUAGGUCCCAAGGGUAUGGCUGUUCGCCAUUUAAAGUGGUACGCGAGCUGGGUUUAGAACGUCGUGAGACAGUUCGGUCCCUAUCUGCCGUGGGCGCUGGAGAAUUGAGGGGGGCUGCUCCUAGUACGAGAGGACCGGAGUGGACGCAUCACUGGUGUUCGGGUUGUCAUGCCAAUGGCACUGCCCGGUAGCUAAAUGCGGAAGAGAUAAGUGCUGAAAGCAUCUAAGCACGAAACUUGCCCCGAGAUGAGUUCUCCCUGAGACUUUAAGUCUCCUGAAGGAACGUUGAAGACGACGACGUUGAUAGGCCGGGUGUGUAAGCGCAGCGAUGCGUUGAGCUAACCGGUACUAAUGAACCGUGAGGCUUAACCUU